RNAcentral lists this long non-coding RNA (842 nucleotides) under Rattus norvegicus (Norway rat). RNAcentral's name for it is "long non-coding RNA NONRATT027759". The record is from RNAcentral. Lineage: Eukaryota; Metazoa; Chordata; Mammalia; Rodentia; Muridae.
ACGGAGGGAAGCAUGGCGCCCAGGUGCGAGCACUCAGACCAACAUGUCCUGCGCAAUAGUAGCCGAGGCAGAAAUGAAAGGAACGGACACGCCCCUCUCUGGUCAUCUGCUAUUGAAGGAAGCAGGGCUUGACAUCUUGCAGGGAUCACGGAUUAACUUCUCUUUGGCCUGAGUAAGCACGUGUUCGUCACAGCACACAUGUGGAAGUCAGAGGUCAAUCCAUAGCAGUCAGAUCUCCUCUCAUUGGUCGUAGGGAUCAAAGUCAAGUUGUUGGCUUUGGUAACAGACACCUUUACCUGCUGAUUCAUCUUACAAGAUCCUAGUGUAAAGUUUGUUAGCUUUGGAAUCCCUUUUGAGAGGGGCAAUCUAAAAAUACAUAUUUCUGUUGGCAUAAAGACAACUGGGAGGAAAUAUAAAAUAAUAAAAACUUUAGAGGCCAGAGGUGCUGUUGAGUAUUUUCUUCUAUCAAUCUCCACCAUAGCUUUUGAGACUAGAUCUCCCACUGGACCUAGAACUUGGUGUUUAGCCUAGCUGGCUGGCCAGCCAUCCCUCCUGAAUGCCCCACCCCAGGCACUUGGGCUACAGGCGUGCACUGCCACACCAGCUUGUUCUGUUCUUACUGUUAGAUGUAGGUGCUGGGGAUUUGACCUUGUUUCCUCAUACGUGUGUGGCAAGCAGUUUACCUACUGAGCCAUCUCUUAGUUAUGUGCUUCAUGAGGAAGGGAAAAAAUGAAAAUAAUAAGGUAGAUAAAGGUGGGCGAGAAAUCUUUUACCCUUUAACUUUCUAUAGUGUUUUGACUUUUGAGCCACGAAACUAUUAGCUAAUAAAGGCAACCGGUCUC